RNAcentral lists this long non-coding RNA (29967 nucleotides) under Phoenix dactylifera (date palm). RNAcentral describes it as "long non-coding RNA (PDAC_LNC001388)". The record is from RNAcentral. Lineage: Eukaryota; Viridiplantae; Streptophyta; Magnoliopsida; Arecales; Arecaceae.
CUAAAUGACCAUUGACAUGUCACCCUUUUGCUUUUUACCAUUGCAGAAAUACUGAAUGUAAUCUUUACAAAGAAGCUUUACUCCAUAUAUAUACAAUUGGAUUUAUGGAAAUGAUAUGAUCCAUCAAUAUCUGAGAACAUUUCGCAACUGGCUAUUAAAAUGUUAUUGACUCUUUGAGUCAAUGUCAUAUAUUCUUGGACUAGGAGACUUUGAGCAAAAGAGGAGCCUACGGUGAAACCUAGAAGAGUAGUUGACAAGUAGGAGGCCUACUUCAUGGUUAUGCAAUUUAACAUCAUGCAGCUAAGAAUCCCUUCUCCAAGGAUCCCCUCUUCCUAGAAAGAGUUUUAGACAGUGAGAAGACCACAAAGUUUGAUGUAAGAAUAUCAUUCAUCUCAAGUCACAAUUGUAAGCCAAAGAGCAAAAUGAAAACAUGAUUCCUAUUAGACCUGAUGUUUUUGUUAAUUCUUUCAAUGAUCUGGUCAAAGCAACAACUAUCCAUAUAAGACUCCAAAGUUUGUCCAAUUGCUAGUACAUCUCAUACUUCAGGUACAUCUCAUGUUUGCAAUACAGUUUGAAUGAGGCUCUGUGUAGAAUUUGGAAGUAAUUUGAAGGUAUAGUUGGCUAAAGUCAUUUCCCUCCAUCUCAACAGAUUUCAACCAAAUUUCCUAUCAUCAUUACAAAAAUUUCAACAAAUUUUGUUCUAUGUUUGAUGUUUUAAAUAGAUUUAAAGCUCUUAACUUUAAAUUUAAUUUAUCAAGAGCAAUCAUAAGGAUUUUAUGGAUGCAGAUCAAUAUCUAUGCAUCUUCAUUGUAGAAUGUUUGGCCUUAGUAGUUUGACAUAUCAAUUUAAGCAUUGGUUCCUAGAAUACUUUACCUUCCUAAGGUGGAGAAUUGUUUCCUUUUGAGUUUUGCAUUUCUGCUCUGUUGCAAUGAUGGAAUUUGUCUUGAUAUCCUUCUAAUAUUGUAAUAUCUGGGAGAAAGCACUUAGAAUAAUUUUCUUGUUAUAUAUGCAAGACGAAUUAUCUUAUCAUGCCAUGCUUCUGUCGACCUUUUGGUUGCUCAUUAUGGUUGAUAUAUGUUUUCCAAUUUGUACACCCAAACGGCUCAAUAAAAAAAAAUUCUAUGCUCAAGCCUCUUGUUGCAACAAUUAGAAAGUAUCCAAUUUUUUCUUAUUAACUUCCAAUUGAAGAGACACAACUAACAUGCAUAAGUUGAAAUGGUAAAAAAAGAAUGUCACGAUUACUUAAGUUCUCAUCAAGAUGUAUAUAUUUCCUGCCUUGGGAAUCUGAAUAGCAUGCAAAACUUUAAAGAAAAUCCUUCUUUUCUAGUGAGCAAACUUGUAAGCUCCGCCACCAAGCAGAUGCAAUAUAAGAGUCUGCUGCCAAGCAGAUGGUGAUGCACUGGACCAUUGGCACUUGAUUUAUAUGAACCCAAUUAUCAAAAUAAAUAAUAUAUUAUUUGCAGUUGUUUUUUUGUUUUUUAUUUUUAUUUUUUGCUUUGACGGGUUCUUCAUACAAUGUGCAUACGGAUACACCCAAGUUUGCAGUUGUUUAAUUGAUUACCUUAUAUUUUGUCAGUUAGCAUAAAGAUGAUGUAAGAAAAUCCUCUGGUUUUAAAGCCUUUAUCUGGUAUGUUUCUGUUUUUUCAGUUAAAUGUUGCUUCACCAGCACCUCAGUGAAUUCAUAUAUUCUUUAAUGCAUAUAAUGUCUUUCCAGGGCAGUUAAUUGUAGCAUCUCUUCUAAGUAGAAACACCAAAUUGCGGUUACUUCUAAGAGAUCCUACAAAAGCUACAUCUUUGUUUGGUAAUCAAGAUGAGAACACGUUAGAGGUGUGGUAAUCAAGUUGGUUAUUUAACAUGUUAACGCAUUUCCUUUAUUUUAAUGUGUUAACUUAUUUACUACUCUGGUACUUGCCUUUAUAUUCUAACUAUAGUUUUGAGGUGUUGUUAUUUGUAAUAGGUAUGGAAAGGGGACACACGAAAUCCGAGUGAUUUAGAUCCAGCUGUAUUUGAGGUUAGUCAAUUUGAUUUCUCAUUCAAGUUUUCAGUUUCAAGAUAUAAAAAUAUCAUUUCUAUAUGUUGCUCAAAAAAAUUAUCAUGUUGGCUGUCAAAUUAUUUAUGACUGCUUUAUUAAAUCAAAUUAUAGGAUUCUUGUUUCAUAGGGAGUCACACAUGUAAUUUGCUGCACCGGAACCACAGCUUUUCCUUCAAGGCGAUGGGAUGGUGACAACACACCUGAACGAGUGGGUAGGUAUAAUGCCCCUACAGAUUUCACCUACUUGUUUAGAAAAAAAAACUGUAUAAACUUUUAUAUUACUAGAUGACAAUGACCUAAUUCCAGUUAAAGAUAUGAGGUGCAAUUCCAUAACCAUGUGUUCCUCAUAAAAUGAAAACAAGAAGGAAAAUAAUAGAGGAAAAGGUUAAUGGGCAUAAGAUCAUGUUAAAAUUAUUCAAUAUGAAGAUGCAGUAAGUUUCUCAAAUAAUUCCCUCAUAUUGUAGCAUCGACAUUCUUCCUUGACAAAUGCUAGUCCAAUCUGAUUGCCUCUUUGACAAACAUCUCAUAAUAACAGGGUUUUCCUCUUCAAUUCCUUUAAUAACAACUAGUGAUUUACACAAUUGUUUUCUGUUUUAUUCCUUCACUUUGAAUUGAGUCCAGCUCUUUUCUUUUUAUAUUUUGCCUUUAGGUACUUUCUCUUUGACUUUUCAAAAGCCAAAAUAUUUCAAUCACCCUAUGAGAAUUUGUAGCAUGAUAGUUUGGAAAACUUUACGUCCUUUCAACUUUCUCAAAACAUAAUUGUUGUUUGAAGAUUGGGAAGGAGUACGGAAUCUUGUAUCAGCAUUGCCUCCAACAUUGAAGAGAUUCAUUCUUGUGUCAUCAGUUGGUGUUACAAAAUUCAAUGAGCUUCCAUGGAGGUAUGUAUUAUCAUUUAUUACAUAUUUGAAAAUUUUGAUGAUAUUGAGAAUGUAGAUUUAAACAGUGUCAGGCAUAUUUUGGAACUAACUAAAACAAUAGUCUCUUAGCCAAUACCUUUACCGUUAUGAGCAUCCGUGCUGGUGUCUGUUCAGUCCCAAAUUGGUUUUUCACCGAAUAGAUCUUGGAUACAUAUAUGGGACUAAGAAAUAUUGUUACAAAUGGUAUUAGAGUGGACCAAUCCAUGGUCCAUGUGGAUGAGAAAAAACUACAGCAAGGACCCUUUGCAGGAUGACCAUAGGCCGAUCAUGUUAUUUGUGAUUUGAUUUUAUGGGAUUUGGACUCAGCCUACAAAGAUGUCAAACCUUAAACAGGAGAUUGUGUGAGAUCCCAUGAGGGUGCGUGCUUAGUCUUACAUCGAUUAUGCACCAAAUGUUACAACCCAAAACCUCACCUAGAAAAGCUAGCCAGAAGGUAUUAUUUGGAUUUUUUAGCCCUAUAUCAAUACUCAAGAUCUACCCAGUGCAUAGCCAAUGUGAGACUAAACACAUGCUCGUACGGAUCCUCACAUACUCUCUCCGUUUAAGCCAUGGCAUCCUCGCCAAGCUAAGGGUUCAAAUCCAUUUAACUCUAAUCACAAACACCAUGAUUGGCCCAUAGUUAGUCCCAAUGGGCAUGUGCUGCAGUGUUUCCUAGUCCAUAUAGCUAUGGGCUGGGUCUGCUUUGAUACCAUUUUGUAACAACCUAGGAUCUCAUCCAAAAAAUCUAACCAUAAGGUAUUAUUUGGAUUUCUUGGCCCUGCAUAAAUAUCCACGAUCUACCCAAUGCAUAGCCCAUGUGAGACUAAAGACAUGCCCAUACGGAUCCUCAUGUCGAAUAGAUCUUGGGUAAAUAUACAAAGUCAAACAAUCCAAAUAAUUCCCUUCAUAUUGCCUUUUUGAGUGUGAUCCUGGAUUGUUACAAGCUUCCUAACAGUCGUCGUUUGUCUCCUAUUCUAGUCAUUGAUACUAUAUAAUAAUAAUUAGUUUAUACUGUUCAAGUUUCAUCUGCAAAUAACCAAGAAACUGAUUGCUAAUGCGCCAAAACACAUAGCAGCGAUAUAAAGUUCUAUAAGGUUGAAUAUGCUGAGCCUUGCUUGCAAUGCUCGUCUUAGAACACAAUUUCUUUAAUCCAAAAAAAAUUGUAAAAGUGCUUAACAUGGCAUGUUGAUGCAUAGUCAAAUGAUAUAUGCAUUCUCGGUUAUGCUUCAUGUAUGCUUGUACCGCAGUUUUAGAAUUAGAUAAAAUAUUUGUGCAUUCAGUAGCUUAGCUUCUAAUGUUGUGGUUGUUCUGUUUGAGCAGUAUCAUGAAUCUCUUUGGUGUUCUUAAGUUUAAAAAGAUGGGCGAAGAUUUUGUUCGUAAUUCUGGCCUUCCCUUCACCAUUAUUAGGUAUGUAAUAUGUUUAUAUUUUGUAGACAAUAAUCUAUGUUUAUAUGAGGCCAAGGCUGUGAGAGAGGCCUAUUGACUGCUACCAUGUAGCUUUUUGGCCCUUUCUCAAUGUCAAAAAGAAAAUGGAAAGAGAGCUCAUCUUCUUGCCAUUUUCUUUUGAUAAUUAUUUUGACCUGUAUGUAUGUAUAUGCGUGUUUGUAUCGCCAGGGUUAUUAUCUUUUUUUGUUGACAGAGUAUGGCUACAUUUGCCAGGGCUGGAAGAUUGACUGAUGGACCAUACACUUCAUAUGAUUUAAAUACAUUGCUUAAAGCAACUGCAGGGAAACGACGUGCAGUUGUCAUAAGUCAAGGUAUCUCUUAGUUAGACCUCUUGGAUGAAAUAGUCCUAAUUGUCAUGAUUUUUCAGAAGCUUUAAUAUGCUAGGAAUAUUGUCAUAUAUGAAUUCCAUAUGUACACAUACUGUUUUGUCAUUUAUACAUCACAUAUUAUAUUAUAGGGCCAUGGUUUGUUGUAUCUGUAUAUGUCAUUUUGAUCUAAACCUUCUUCAUCAAGCUUCAUUAUCAUCUUCCUAAGUUUCUUUUUAUCGCUCUGGAGUGUCUCUAGUUAGUCAGAAUCACCAAUGGAGGUUAUUGCCAUUGCAUUUGACUGUUUUGCCAAGAGCAUUGCAUGUCAGAUAGGCUCCAUUACAACAACCUCAUGAGCUGAUUCCUUUGGAUCAUGGCCAAAAUCUUAUAGACUAACUAUAACCAUCACUAGAGAAAGUUCCAUAUGCACAAAUUUAUCAAGAGUCUUACUUUCCUACAAAGAUGAGAGCAGUAAUGGUGUUACCAUGGUAUGUCGUAUCAUACCGAACCGGACAGUACCAAACGUACCGUACUAUACUGAUUCAGUACCAGUACCGGUACCGGUACUGGUGGCAUACCGACACUCGGUACGCCAAAAAAAUCACAUAUCAUACCGUACUGAUAUUAUAUUAGUGUGGCACUGGUAUGGGGUCCGAUACUGAGACGGCAAACCUUGGAUGUCGCCCAUUUAGUCUUCGUUGUCAAGUACUACCAUUCAUUUAACUCUUUUCUACUUGGUGGAGGCACUUUUCAUCUCCUUUGUCAGCCACGGAGGUCAAUAUUGCUACCAACUUGUUACAUUGGAGAUAACCUCCUCCCCAGCUCCAAAAUACACAUGAACGCAAACAUAUUCCUUGAAUUCCUUGUAUUGUUGAGAUGUUGUUGAUUGUUGAUGAACAAAGCGAAUGACUUUAUAGCCUCAAAUUUCGAGCUUAUUUGGAGUUGUCAUUAUUUGUUCCCAUAGGCGUAAAGAUCUCAUUUUGUGUUUCUAUGGAGGUCUAAGUGGCUACACACUUUUAGCCUCAAAAGUGGUCAGAAUCUGGCAGUUUUCAUUUGUUGUUUAAUCUUUAUUGUGUUGUUGUUUGCUUCACCCUUAUCGUCACCUAAGGAUUCAAGACUUUUUAGCCAUACCAUAUAGUAUGUUUAUUUCAAAGUGGUUGUUCUAUAAUUUGGGUUAAGCUUUUCUAUUCCAUCUUAGAUGGUUCUUUUGGUUUUCUCAUUAUCCCUUUUUACACAUUUUCUCUCCCUUGAUAGCUGCAACAUUAGGUUGGCAUAGUCUUUCUAUUUUGUUGAUUUCUUCUCUGCACCAAAUUGUCAACACUUGGUCUCUUUGAUACUCUUCAUGGUACACUAUACUGGUUGGUACCAGGCACACUAUACUAUAAUGGUAUCGAACUGAUACGUGGUUCAGGAGGUGUAUUGAGUGUUGGUACACUGAACCAAAUCCCAUACCAAGCAUAUCGACAUCGUACAAGAAUGGUACUAGUGCUGGUUCUGGUACAGAGAUGCAAACCAUGAUGCACUUUAUCUUGUUUGUGAUUUUUCCUAUGGCACCUUUUCUUUAUUUUUUAUUUUAUCCAAAUAUCAUGAUGUUUCAACAUGUUGACAUUAUUCAGAGCCAAUUUCUUCAAUUUAUAUCCAUUCCUGGAUGCGGGUAACAGAAUUGAGCAUUCUGUCAAUCUUCAUGCACAUUUCAAGGAAUUUGAUUUGUAGGUUUCUUCAAUGGCUCUUGUUCUAAAAAUUCCUGUUCUAAAACAUAAAAUGAUACACAUACCAACUCCAUGAUCUCUUCAUUCUUUAAGCCAGCUGCUCCUUGCAUAUGACCUUGGGGAAGCUCUCCUUUUAUUCCUUCAUCCUCAUCCUUCAAAUAUCUGAAAUGUGGACUCAAGUAUUGCUUUUGACCAUGUAAGUUUGUGGAUCCGAAAGUAGAACUGUGGAACCUUGGCAUGGGCCAAGUGUCAUAAGUGUGACACUGAUUCAACUAGUAUUUGUUAUUUUUGGACUUGUAACUUUCUUGUUAUAUUCAUUUAUUAAAGAAAAGAAAUUUAAAGAAUAAGAAAAUCAAUUGUUACAGAAGCUCCAUUUCUCAUUGGAGCAAGGUUAUUGUAAACCAAUUGAUGGUUUAUUAUUUAGAGAAUUUGUCAAAGGAAAUUUUUCUUUCCAUGGGUAUCUCUUGUUCUAAAGAUGCAGUGUUGGAAAUUUUGUUAUGAUAAUUUUUGGCAUUUCUUAAUUGAUUUUCUUGAAGACAUGAAGGUAAUGGCAUGAAUAAGAUUUAUAGGUGUCACCUAGUUUGAGGCAUUCUAUGGUUGGUGAUAUCAUUACAGUGGAAUCCACUGCAUGGUACAUCGUGUCUGUGCCUUAUUACCAAGAUAUAACUGAUCAAGAUUUUAAAUCUCAUGGAAAAGGACUGUCCCGGUUUUCCUAUGGAAUUGGACACACCGUCAUCCCGCCCUGUCCCGACACUAAGGUUAGAGAAUGUCCUAAGAUAUGCCGAUCAAAAGGCGGGGACAAUGAUGGGACGGUCCCGGCCUGACACUCGAGAUGGUAACGGUACCCUGUCUCAGUGUGCUGCAGGAUAUCCUACCGGGCCUUGAAUCCUUGCAGCUGAUCACUUCAUAUCCUUCUUGAAGUGCAUGAAGAGCAUCCUGGUUGAAUCAGAAGAGCAAGCCCAGAUGGAAUGAAAAAUUGUAUCAAGUCUCGAAACAGCAUAGUGGUCUCUCCUGAGUUCUUUUCAAGUAAUUGAUGGAGAGACUUGCUAGUUUUUUGAUGCAUGAUAUUCCAUUCAUACUACCUUUAGUGAGCAUGAAUGGUGUGAAAUAGAUCCGUAUGAGAUGGUCUCGAGUUCCAGACAACCUCUCAUACGAUGAAUGUUGUUGUUCAUCAGUAGAUGUCUUCAUUGGUGCACGUAUUAUCCAUAUGUUAGAACCUUUUUGCUACUUGAAAAUAUGCCAAUUGCAUGGGAAGAUGCAUCUAUUUUGUAAGAAGUGGCUUUUCUUUUUUUCUCAAAAAGAGAUCUCUUAACACACACACACACACACACACACACACACAUAGAGAGAGAGAGAGAGAGAUCAGCCUUUUAUAAACAACAAAUAUGAAAAAUAAGAUUAACUCAUUUGUCUUCAAAGUGCAUCUCCAGCAAGGCAUUGCUAUCUCAACAGCUUAGAGUGUUGCUUCAUGUGUCAAGCAAGAAAGAUGUGAUUAAUUUAGCUGCCUUUCCAGUUCUCCAUCAUAAUUCUAAUUCAAAAAGAUCUUUAAGGAAAAUAAAAUGUUUCUUAUCUUCUUUGCACUUUAAAUGGAAAUCAUAUCAAAUCUCCUGAUUGCUGUAAAACACACCUUUGGAUGUCCUACAACAUACCAUCCCAAAGUUUCAUGAUAUCUAGGGCAUAACCUAAAUUGAGGACGCUGCAUUUCUGCUGGCUUUCUGGAAAAAAGGCAAGGUAUCAUUUACAGAUAUAUAUCCAAUCCUCUUGCAUUUUACUAAGAAGUUAACAGUGCAAAUAAUGUGCUUCUCUAUGAAAGGACCCAGCCUCAUAUAUUUCUACAAAUGAUGAAUUAAAAGUACUGCAAAAAAAUUUUCUUAACGUAUCAUCAUAUGUGGAUGUUUUUCUGCUUCAAUCUCUGGUUCAUUUUGAUAGUCAAUUUUUUCCAUUUCACAGGAGACAAACUUGUGGGAGAAGUUAGCAGACUUGUCGUUGCGGAAGCCUGCAUACAAGCUCUGGAUAUGGAAUUUACUCAAGGAAAAAUAUAUGAAAUCAACUCGGUGGAGGUAGUUAUACAUACUGAAUUCAAAGAAUGUGUCUUGAAGUAUUAUAUGCUUCUUUUUGUUAAUCCACUUCACAGACUUUCAAACAAACUGGUUAGUUUAUGCCUAAAAAAAGGGGGACCAAUUAGUUUUAUAUGCUAGAAGUGAAGCAUUAUUUUUUCGAGGAAUGAAAGUUAAGCAUUAUAAUUAACUAUUUUUUAUGUUUAAUUACCUAAUGUUUCUUGCAGGUAUUUUAUUUUGCGAUCUGUCUUUAUUUAAAACUUUAAAAAAUCUCGGCAUACUUUAAGAAGUUGCAAUCUUCACCUCUGGAUUCCUAAAAUGGCUAACUUGGACUAACGCAGGGAGAGGGACCUGGAAGUGAUCCUGAGAAGUGGAGAGAGCUUUUUAAGGCUGCUGCUGAACUUAAUUAGUGGGUUUCAAGACAGUUCUUCUCUAAUAACAUGUUAGAAGGGCAAUAUUCUAUGUACACUUGUAUCACUAUGAUUUGAUCAUUUACAUUCCUACUUCUGUUACUUGAUACAAGCAAUUUUAAGAUUUGUUUCUAAGACGAGAUGACCAAGAUAAACUCUGUUUUCAGAAACAUAACAUAGUGUAAAUGAAUAUCGAUUGUAAUUUUCUUAUUGGGAUCAAAAUCUCUCCGUGGAGGUGCAUCUAGUGAGGGCCUAAUGCCAUUAUCAAAGUAUUAUCAGUUACUUUAGCUGAUUUAUAUAUCCAACAAAGGUAGUAUGCAAUCCGAGGUUUACGAUACGACCAGCAUGAGAAUUUGCCAAUAGGCAUAAAGGUAGUAAUCAAUCUGAGGUUUCCAAUACAACCAGCAAGAAAAAUUUGCUGCACCCUCAAGCCAAAUGAUUCAGCUUUCUAGGAUAGAGAAGAUACCGGAAGACCUCAAUGUUGGCUCUUCUAAAAUAAAAAAGAAAGAAAGAGGAAAUAAAAUGAGAAAGAUUGUCCUGGCACAUCAUUCUCUUCUCACUUAUAUUAGAAGGCGAAGUGGUUAUUUCUUGCUUUAGUUCUUGUUGAAAUAAAUAAAAAUUCCACUCAAUGAGUUAUGAUUUCCAUGUUAAGGUUUAUUUUAGCUUUCUAAUGUAUAUCAUCUCCAUAAUAACAAGGUUAAACAGUAUGCUUCCUGCUCAUCCCAAUGAAAAGUACGAUGACACCACAACUACCUUGCAGUCCCUGCUUACAUCUUAAGCACGCGAUGAGAAUAAUCUAAUGCAAGAUACAGCUAGCAGGUAUUGUGAUCAACUAGGCCAUAUCAAGUCUCAAAAAGCCAAAAGAUUCGUCAAAAAUCCACGGCCAUAGAUAUCAACAACUCAAUAUUUGAUUGCCCGUUAUGGUUGGUGUUAGUUUUUGCUAGAGUUUUAUGGUUUGUGGCUGAAAAAAUUUAGUAUGUUACUCAUGGAUUCAUUAUCCUUUUUUAAGGAUUUUGUGCAGAUUACAUGCCCAAAUUAGGGUUGUGUUCUAUAUAUCCUUCUUAUAUUUAUAUGAGACAACAAGCGGUUCUUUAAUCCAUUGCUUCUUUGAAUUUGUGUUUACAUUGUGGUACUCCACCACCUUGGCAAACAAGCACUUGGCACAUGACAGGAGGAGGCGAGCAGCAUUCUUGCCGUGACCAUCUGAGCUGCUCGGUGUCAACUUCUUCAGUGUGUUGCAUAGGUUGAUUUAGAACUUAGGAUUCAAAGGAGAAAUAAUAUAGCCACUAAGGUGGUAGCAUGGUUGGAACGGGGUUAAGAUUCUACCAAAGUGGCCCAGGUUCGAAAUGCACGGGUGUCGAUUAAAUGUGGAGACCGGAUGCCUCCUGCCUGGUCGGUCCGGUGGAGUCGCCAUCUGGUUCGCCGGUACUGAGGUGGCGCUGGGGUGACGUACUCAUACGUGGGGUAACCCACGGGUCGGAAAGGGUAUGAGUAAAGGAUAGCCAUCUUGUCUACCUGCAUCGAAUCUUUUCUAGUGAAAGGGGGGCCCAAUGGGAGCUGCUACGCGGAUGGGGUUUCACCUCUCCCCCCCUCCUAUUUUUUCAGCAAAAAAAAAAGGAGAAAUAAUAUAGGAGAUGAGCAGAGUGGAUAAAAGGAGUUGUUAUUCACUAUGGGGAGUAGAGAAUGCAACUUUAAAUAGUUGAGUAAUGAGGGCAUCUCUCUUAUUUAUAAAGCUUGGCUAUGUAAUACAGUGGUUAGGAGUUGCCACUUUUUAUCCAUUUAACAAUCAAAAUAUUCUAAAUAUAAGAUAUUUACAAGAAAUAUCUAAGCUAUUAGAAAUAUCUUACAAAGUUCCUAAAAAAGCCUCAAUAGAUAUCUAGAGCCGUAGGGAAUGUCCAAUAUGUCUAGAAAACUCCAUACUCUUUUAUCUAGAGUUGUAGAGAACUUUGAAUUUCUCUAGUGAGGGUUCAUUUGGUUGGGAUGUGUCAAAUUAUGAGGUAAUCUGAUGAUUUCUGAAAAUUAUUUAUCUAAAAAAAUAAUUGCUGAAAAAAUCAAUGUUUCCAUGUUUGGUUGAUGAAAAAUUACUUCGAAAAAUGGUACUCGAAAAGGAUUACUAUAUUUGAUUGAAGGUUAUCUUAUGUAAAAAUAUUAUUAAUUUUUAAUAAUUCUCUUGAAUAAAUAAUUUGGGUAAUAAUAUUUUUUUCUCAAUCUAUUUGUUGGCCAUUUAUGGCCCGCUUACACAAAGUUAUUAAUACUUUCAAAUAUUUUAGAAUUAAUUAUAUAUUAAAAAAUAUUUCUUAUUAUAAAUCAAUUUUAGUAUGUUUUGGUAUAUAAAUACAUAUAUUAAUUAUUAAUAAAUCUUAUGUUAGAUUUGUUGAUAGUUAAUAAAUAUUUGUUAAUUGUUUAUUGAUUAUUAAUAUUUACUAAUAAAUAUACUAAUAUAUUAAAUAUAUUAAUAUUUAUAAAUAUUAUUAACUAAUAUAUUAUUAUAUUUAUAAUAUAUUAAUAUUAUAUUAAUAUAUUAUAAUUUUAGUUUAAUUAAUAUACUAUUAAUAUUAUAUUAAUAGUAUAUUAAUAGUACAUAAGUGAAGGUAUUUUUAUCAAAAAAUGAUAAUUUAUAUUACCUCCACUCUUACCACCCUUUUAGUGGUAUUUGUUUUGUCUUCUCUCUUAGAAAAAUAAACAUAGGACCCAUCAUUUAUUUUACUAUAUCUCUUAUCCACUUUUCGUACCAAUCAUGGUAAUCUGAUAUGGGUUUUAUUUUUUUAUGGCAAAUUAUUCCCAGCCAAAUGGGUCCUAAGAAAGUAUACACUUGUUCAGAAAAGCUUUUUCUACAUAAUAUAUUAGUUUUGGAUGCACGGGGGCAACCUCUCUCAAUUAAAGAGGAAAAGUGUUGAACUUUUAAGCUAGCUUUUGUAUCGAGGAUCCAAACAAGUCCAAUUCCAAAUACGAAUACAAAGACUAAUUACAAUCUAGCACAACAUCAUUAACCAUUUGCAUGCAACCUUUUCCAUGGGUCUAACCAACUCAAGGCAUUAGUGCGUCGGGUCCAUCUCCAAGGGUGUGUUUAGUUCACAUUGAAAUGGGAAUUAGAGUAGCCAUUUCCUCUAAUCGGAAUCAGAAUAGAAUUUGAAUACUAGGGAAGAGUAAAGAUUAGGUUUGGAGGAUUAUUUGUUUCUACCAUUGCCAGAGUUUGAAAUAAUAUGAAUAUGUGUAAAUCAAAAAGCAGGCCUUGCAUGUCAUAUAGGGUUAAUUCCUAUGGAUAUUCGGCUAUCUGUCACAUAUUCAACUUGAGCCAUUGGGCCGGGGCAUGGCAAUGGUGGCACAAAAUUUGAUGAUUUAUUAUAUAAUAUCAAAAUCUAAGAAAUAGAUUUAAAUAUUAAGCAUUAUUGUUUCAGAGAAAAUGUGUGGAAAAGUAUGUGCUUUAUAUGCUUGUAGUAUGUCUAAUAUGCACUCAAUAUUUGUACUUGUAUGAUUUUAAAAAUAAUUUCAAGUUUUAUCCAAGAAAAAUAUUCUAAAAAAAGUUUGAUCAAGAGAAUAGUAAAACAAUUUUAAGUGGAUCAAUGUGACGAUCCUAUGGUAGGAGUUAAUUUUAUAAGAAAAUAAAUUAUGUUCUCUUUUUUCUGCUAUUAUACAACAAAUACAAGUAAAUUAUUUUCUUGACAAAUGUUUCAUAAAAUUAUAACCAGCUAAUAUAAAAUAAAGUCCAAAGAAUUUUUGAUGGCCAUGCAGAAUAUAACCUUCUAUUUUAUAUCAAGCUACAUCUUACAAGCAAGAUGUUGUGAAAAGUUAUUGACAUAAAUUCAUUUUUACCUUUUCUGACAAAUAUGGUGAGGAUGCCAACACCAAAGAUCAAACCCUGGAGCUCUCCCAAAUGGAGAAGAAUGCAUAUUUGGUAAGCUAAGGUCAUUUGACCUUAAUAUGAAUUCAGUCAUGCAGAUCGGAAAAAAAAUAGUAAUGAUGAAUAAUCUUACCUAGAAUUUGAAAAUCAUAUUGCUCUAACUCUCUUUAAUUUUGCUAAAAAAUAUUAUCGAUACUUGCAAAUUAUAAAUCAUCUAAUAAUAAUCUUACAAAUCUAAGUUGUCAGCUACAAAUUUCUACAUAUAUUCUGAGAAACAACAAUUGCUUACGCGCCUUGCAUACAUCUUGAUUCAUUGAUUAGAACAUUCCAUUAGAGCAUUCUAUCAAACACUGUUAGAUAUCAUUUUGAACCCAUAUCUAGCAACUGAGAAAUCUUUUAAACAUGGAGCCAUCAUGCUACUUUGUCCUUGGGUUUAAAAAGAUGAUACUUUACAUUAUGGCAUCAUCAAUUUUCCUUGGAUUAUAACAAAUUGCCCUCAUUUUUAGACUCAUCAUCAACUUGACAUUUCAUCAAAGCUUUUCUUUUUACCCAUGCCUUACUAUUUUUCUUACCGAUUUGAUCAUUGGCUAGAGAGGUAUGUGUAUUAGAGGCAAGAUAUAUGUGCAUUAGAUGGGUAUCAUUGGAUUUUGGAAUUAGUAGAAAGUUUUGAAUGGCUAUGAUCGAAAAAAGAGGCUUCUAAUCAGUUUUGUGCAUCCUCCAUUUAACUCGGAAUCCUGACUCGCCAUUCUCCUUUCAAGUAGAUUGGUUAUUUGGAAGAGAUUGACUUGUUAGUCAAUACAAAAAUAAUAUAUAAUAAUUUAAAAUAAUCAAAUAUAUAAAAUAUAAAUUUUCUUAAAAAUAUGACAAUAUAUAUGAUAAAUUUUGGUAAUAAAAAUAAUUGCAAAAACAAUGAUAGUAACGGUAUAUUAUCAUUAUAUCCUUUUAUUUUUUACAUUGUAAAAAAACUAUAAUGACCAAGUAAAAUUCAUAUCACCACUUUAUUGUGGCUACCAUUUAACCUGUCUAAUGGUCAUUCUAGCAACCCGAGGCACAGGACUCUAAACCUUAUGCUUCUACUUUUAGCGCCCAAGACAACCUAUAUAGUAAAAAAUAAAAAAUACAAGAUCUAUUAAAAAGAAAUUCCCUUGUUUACUGUAGGCAUGAUUUCCAAUCUGGGAUGAAUUUUAAAUAGUUGUGGAGUAGAUAUGACAUCCAAAAUUCCAAAUCAAUGAUUAUAUACACUUGCAUGAGAGAAGGGGAGUGAAGAAAGUACUAAAUUGAGUAGCUUGAUGGAUUUUAGAAGUUUAAAAGUACUUAAUAGAUCAGUUUCACAUAUUUUAGGAAUAUAGGAGUAUUUUGAGAAGUAUUCUAGGAGGAAAAGUAUAGUUUAGUUAUCAUAGGAAAUAUAGAAGAAUUUUGAGAAGUAUUUUUGGAGAAAAAAUAUAUGUUAGAUAUUAUAGGGGCAUUCUAGGAAGAGGGUUGUAUUACUAUAGGGCCAUUUUAGGAGAAGCAUAUUUCAAGAAUAAAAAAGUUUUCACAUAGUUAUUACCCAACUUUUAUAGUUUUUAGGUUUACUAGUGUGCACCAAACUGUACAUAAAGCAAACUAUAGCCUACUAUCAAUGUGAAACCCACCAAAAAUUCAUCCGACCCACCUUAAAUUAAAAUUAUGUGGACUAGACUUGGAUUUGAAAACAUGACCCAAUUUGAAUAUGAAUUGGAUUUGGAUUAAUAAAUUCCUAUCCAAACCUAAACGAACUAGAAACAAUUCAAAAUUUGGACAAUAAGUAUCUCAAACCUUCCUCGAAUAUAUGAAUUUAGUUUUAUUUUUAUAAUAUAAAUAGCUUAUAAUCCUAAUCAUAAUGGUUGUGGUUAUCAAUCAAAUCUUAUGUAGGAUAUGUUUCCUAUAUCUAUAUUUUACUUGUUACUGUCCUGUUGUAUAAUAAGUUUGUGAUAUAUUAUAUAUUUAUCAUGGUUUAUAUUUGGGUUACUUUGACCUGAUUUAAACUGAAAAUCCAAUGAAUUUAUAAAGUUAAUUCAGUACCCAAUCCGAUCCAUUCUCAAAGAAAUUGGAUUAGAUUUGAAUUCAAUUUUUGGACCUCAUUCAAAUGUGGGUUGGCAUUGGGUUGUGUCCAUCCUUGAUCCAAUCCAAGCCGCCUGCAGCCCUGUAAAGCUAUGUACAGCGACCAACUUAUUAACCGUGCGAAAGCAUAGGCCUAAAUGGUAGGAACGGGCUUAAUGGAUCAGCUGACAAAUAAAGGGCCAAGCUUGUGCAAGAGACCCUAACAUUAGCUUUGCUAUUAGAAGUAUAAGUGGUGCACUAGUAGCAGUAGGUGAAGUCAGACUUUUUGAAAUGAUGGUUUCGAUGGCUAAAUUACAUACUGCAUGAGGACUGGUGCAUGCAAUAAAACAUCUGCUAGCAACUCGUAAAAUUCUCGAAGAAGACACUUUGACAAUAGUUAGAUGGUUAUCAAAUCCACCAAAUACAGAAACUAGCUCCCAUUCAUUAACACAUGAUUGCUAGAGUACUACUUUAUGGAUUGCUGUGUCAAAUAUUCCAUCUGAAUUUUCUCAUUUAUGUUUUCUAAUUCACAUAAUGUAUUUUCUAUAGUUUGCAUAAAUAAAUCCAGUUUUACCCAAAAAAAUAAUAUCAUUGCAGGCCCUUUGCAAUUGUUAUCCGAUGAAUAAGCAGGUCUAGCUAGAAGAAACAAGCUCAACUACUAUAGCUCGUGUUAGCUAAGAACAGAUUUACAAGGAACUCUACCCUAAUACGACUAGCAACCUCUAUGUUGUUUCCAAAUGAAUCAUGUUUUGCCAGUGAGAAGCUAUCAGCACUCAAGAUUUUAAACCCUGCAGCCAAAACCCCUAGUCCUUGCUGAUUCUCUUGCUGCAAACCCUAGUCAGCAAAUUCUAAAUAGUUACAGAAUAAAGAAGCCCGAUUGCCAUAUCACUGAUGAUUACUUACAACAUUUCUUUUUUACAAAAAAGUCAGCAUACAUCAAUCAGCACUUCUUGCUACAUGCAAAAGAAUGUAAAAGGUUUUAAGAACGCUGACUGUUGUUAGUAGCUGUCCUGAUUUGAGCAGCAAACGUUUAACCCAUUGGAAGGUGUGAACUUAUCAAGAACCCCAGACCAGCUUGAAGAUGUUCCUGCUAGCACUUGCACUAAUCAUUUUGCUUUGGUUCUUCAACAUCUCCUCCUGAGCACGUAUGUCCCCCUCCUUCAGCAUUACCAUCAGCAUAUUAUUAUUGACAAGACAAUGAAACUAUCGAUAACUAUAAACAAUGUUGGUACCUUCCAAAGAAAAUUAUACCUACAGAAGCUGGAAAGGUGAUAUGCAGCAUACAUAGUAAAAGCAUUGAGCUUACAGACAAGGCAUUGACACAACAUCUUAGCAAUCUUAAGAGGUUUAAAAUCCACAAAGAGAUCAAAAGUAGCGAUAGAAGAGGGUACCCACAAGCAGAGAGUAUGCUCGAGCCAGCGAUAAAACAGUUGGAUAGAGGUCUACAACAGCCAGGGCAACCUCUUCUGUUACUUGCGGAACCUGAAAUUUGGUAUCACUAGAUAUAAACAGCAUUUUAUGAUGGAAAAGGAUAUAAACAGUGUUAAAUAGCACUCAAGAAGAAUAAGUAGAUAAUACAAGAAAAGAAGAAAAGAUCAACUCCGAUCGCAGAAAAACUAAAUAUUUGGGGGGAAAAGGACAGCCAAUCUCCCCUCUUGCUAUAGAGGGAGAGGAUGUGGUAAGGACCAGGUAACAAUGAGUAGUACUUAUGCUGCAUAUUAUGAGGUAGGUUGUUUGGUGCAUUAGUUACAGCAUAAUCACCUGCAUGAGUUGGAGGGCAAAUACAUCACUCACGGUCAUUUUCUCAAGAUCUUGACACCUCUUAACAAACUCAUUGUAAGAGGGGCAGACUUUAGAGUUCUUGGUAUUCUCCCUGGAAAAGUGUGUGCUGUAAUACUGAGUUAUUGAUUUCGUAAGAUAACCAUAUUUCUUGACAGUGUCGACGAAGCCAACGGUCCUCUGCACGUCAAACCCUUCCAAAAUCUCUGUGGUGAAACAACUGAAAAUAUGGAUUUAAUUGACAUUAAGAAAAAAGAUAACAAGUACAACCUAUAAGACGACUAUACUCAUGAGGUAUUUACAAUACACCAAAUGAAGAUCUUAAAGAGAGGUAGACUAUAUAUUCAUGAUAUAUGGUUCCAUAAGUUGUCAAAAUGGUGGACAAGAAAAUUGAUACCAUCUUAUGUUCCAUAGUGAUUCAAAUUCCCCUCCAAAACAGGUAAACAAAUUGCAUCUUUCAUAAAGAACACAACCUAAAUCUAAAAGGAUGCAAUACCUUUUGUAGUCAUUGCAUCUCUGACCAGAAUAAACUAUUUAUGACAAUACAAACAAAUCUUAUAGCAUGGAUGAUAUUGACUCAGGUCCAUGAAGGUUUAAGAACAACGAACCUUAGCAACUGUAAGGAAAAUUUCUUUUGUGGCCUAAGAUACUUAGUUUGAUGCAUGAUGAUGUUUAUUGGACCAUGUGUUAUGCAUACUGGUCUCAAUAACUAUGCUCACAAGACUAAACUAAAAAAAGAUUAACCUCCCUAGUAUUCUGAUAGCUACUUUUUGAUGUUUUCAGAAUUUCUAGGUCACCAUAGAUGGCAUUUUGUGAAGCAUGUCUAAAGAAAAAAAGGUUAAAAUAUUCUUUUUUUAUGUAAAAAAAGGUUAAAAUAUUCAAUAUGUUGAAGACUAAAAGGAUCUGCUUGAGCUAGGUUUAAGAGCACCAAACAAUCUGACAUCAUCUAUGUUAUAUCAGUAAGUACCAUCUGAGUCUGUUUAAAGUGUAUCACAAAUUUUUGAAAUAUAUUACUUUUUUUUCUAGUUCAUCAUUUGAAACUGUACAAAGUGAAUUCUUGAUGCUUCAAUCUGAUAAUGCAGAAAAUUAUCACACUAAAAGAUAAAGGCAGCAAUAAAUUGACAAUAGAAAUUAGAAAUAUUGCUCGCCAAAAUAUAAAUAAUAAACAGCUUCAAAUGCUGAAAGCAUCAUAAAAGUUCUAAAAUAUUGUCAAAGGGCCGCGCAAAAUUAAACUACAAAAAGAAGUCAGCUAGCAGAGAUAAUAAGACAAAACAUUAAUUAAAAGGAGACCCACAGAUGACAUUGAUAUUGCUAGUUUAUUCCUUGAUUAUGCAUUUCCUACUAAAAAUGUACCAGCUUACAACCUGGUUAACAAAAGCAUUUGCAACUCGGUGAUGUGAGCUCAAAUCAAAUAAGUCAUGAAAAGGAAAAAGAGCAUUUGCUUUGUUGGAAAGUUGUCUGCAAGUAAUAAGAACUAAGACAUAUAACAACAGAACAAAUAUAAAAUAGUACACACGCUGUUUUGAUGCUUUCGGCAGCUUCCUGAGAAUUUGGAUCACCUUCGACCAGAUAUAUCAGCUUUUGUAGUCCACAUCUCUAUGAAAUUACAAACAUAAAAAUGCAUUAAAAAACUCCAUAACGGUAUAAUCCAGUGAUGGCAACCCCACAAAAGCGUAGAAAUGAAAUUAAAGGCGUAUCUGUUCCUCGGCACAUAACACUUAAGUGAUUUAUCUCAUGCAGAUUAUCCUCCUCACUUAAAUGAACAUUUUGGUGGCCAGAAAAUGAUGCAGUCAUAGACAGAAGUAUUCAUACUGAUAUAAAGGCAACAUAUCCAUGCCAUCCUGAAAGAUAUCUAAGACAGAAAUAAUAUUGCAUCUUCAUCACUUUACUUCCUAAAUAGAUAGAAAAUCUUGGAAAAGUGGCAACUUUUAUUGCUUGCAUAUUUCCGGCACCAUCAUAGGCAGAAACAUGAAAUGGAUAAGGCAAAAAAUUAGUAAUUGUUCCAAAGACAAACAGCAAAAUAUGCAAAGCACUGGUGAAUAAAUUAGUUUACAAACAUUCCAUGGUAUAGUGAGCAAUGUAAAUUUGAUAAGUUAUGUGGGCAAGGUUACUUUGCAGCAUCUUGUACCCCAAACUAGACUACUAGACCGGCCAGCAAGUCAUAGCCAGAGUCUGAUCUGAUUUAACUUUAUCAAACUUGGCCCUAAACUUGCAAAUGAGUACAUGAUCACAUGCAUGACCCGAACAAGUUUUUGAUCAGAUGUUUCAAUUCAUACUCACAAAGUUAAUACAUAAUAAGGCUAGAAACCAAUAUUAGUUGUUAAAGAGAGGAUCAUAUAUUAUAAAAAAAUUGAUUGUUGAUCAAGAAAUAAGUAAAUAUUUCUAUUACUAAUUGACUAAAUAUAAACGUAAGUAACAAGCUUUGGCCCAUCUAUCCAGGUUUGACAUAUCAAAUGUGAGUCUCAUUCAGCCCUCAAAUCUUAUCAAAAAGCAAAACUCUCAAAGUGAACAGUCUUCAAGUAUAUGUACUACAUCAAAUCUGUCUUUAACACCUACUAAAAUUAGAGAUUGCAUGCAUGCACCUACAUAUAUUGUCAAUCUUAUCUUCUUCACAAUGGUGUGCCACCAAAGCUAUUAGGAAUAUGCAUAAUUUUUCAACUUUCCUUAAAAUUAAAGAAAGAAAAUGUUUACUAGGUAACUACUUAAUAUACCACCUUCACCCGAACAUGUCACUAUGUAAUAGGGUUGACUUUAAGGUAUUUGGCAGUUCUACAAAAUCCCAAAGGCAAAUUCCCACUUCAUCCACCAUAUAACCUAAUCCAAAUUAGGGGAAAUCUAUAAAUAACUUUCAACAAUAUAAGAAAUUGACAUAGAAAAUUACAUCACGAGUAAAAUCCAUAUAAACCCAGAACGAUAGACAUAAAAUCAAUUUGAGCAAAAAAAUAAAAAAUAUCAAAUGCCAACUUGUGUCACUAGAGGAUACCUCAUACAGAUGAUAACCAGUACCUGUAGCCUCAGUUUCUGAUCUCUAUACCGGUUGUCCUUGAUUGAACUGCAUAAAUCAUCAACUUUUUUCCUUUCGACGAUAAAGUCAAGAACAUACUCAUUAUUAGACUGUCUAUGUCGAACAAUCCAAAUUCCAUCUCCAAUAGGCAAGCGUCUAACCUGGGUAAAAUGCCACGCAUCAAUGCUCUACAAGUUAAUUGCUGGAAGUGUAUAAAGUAUGAAAAGCAGAUUACGAUUUCAAAAUCCAUGCAUAGAUCAAAUAUCCAAUAGGCAAGCGACAAACUCAAAUAAAUAAUUUAACAUGUAAAUCAUUGCUAAAGUUAUAAGCAAAGAGAAAAGAUUGCAUUGGCAUAAAAAAUGAAACAAAAUUUAGCAGUCAAAAGGCAGAUAAAUUGGUGAGUUAAGCCUUGCAGGCUAAUACUUAUUUUCAUUCUAAAUCCAGACACGAUUUGGAUUAUAACUAAGAAUCUAGAACUGGCGGGAGGUCUAGUGCUUGUAAAAUUGCACCCAACCAGAUCAUACCCAACAAAAUACAAGUAGAAAUAGUUAUAGGCACAUUAAAUCACCCAACGCUAAUCCAAUCAGACUUCACAAAAUGUUGGUUUUUGAGUCUAAUUAUUCAACCAGAUCAACUUAGGUAUAGUUCCUGAUCUAUUCUCAUAGUCAAUUCAGGUCUUCUAGGGCUGAAAUUGGGCCCAAGCCGGGCAAAUUCAGAUCAAGCUACGGGCUAGGCUCGAAAGAUUAUGGACUGUGUUUAUGCUUAAAUAUAGAGCCUAUAUGUUUUUCAGGCCAGGCUUGUGCAUAUCAUUAGCCCGGCCCGAGCCUAAGCCCAGACAAGGCCUGAAACGGAGCCCGAACUCAGGCCCGGACCCAGCCCGAACUCGGGUACUUAUUUAUGGACUACUUAGAAAAUAGGAAUAUUAUUUCCAAUUGUGCUAUCAAUUUGCUUUUCUGGUAAACAUGUUUCUAAUCAUCAGAUGGUUGCUAACGUGAAGCUACCAUAUUUCAACAAAAAAGCGUGAAGCAACAGAAUGAAAGAUUGAAAGAUUAGGCUUCAAUCGGGUUCAGGCCCAUCCCAAUUUUUAGCCCAAAUCGAUAUUCGGGCUGACCUAAUCGGGUUCUAUUGGGGCCUGGGUCUGGGCUCAGGUUGGGCUUAGACCAGGAUUUUCCAAAAGUUUUCAAGCCUAAUCUAGCCCAAAGCCCAAAAAAUAUUCAGGCCAGGCUUGGGUAGGGAAGCGGCCUAAACCAUUUUCAGCUCUAAGUUCUUCAUCCACCUCCACGUCCUGAAGCCAAAACCUGAACAAACAAGACCUACUUGAUCCCUAAGGCGAAAGGCUUCGCUUAGUUUAUUAACCUGACUUUCUGUGUCUUAGUCAUUUGUCACAAUUUACAUUGUUAUAUCAGUUGUCGGCAUUAGAAGUAGAUAUCCGGAUGAUUCAAAAAAGAAAUAUAUUUAAACAUGCAAUCAAAUAUCUGGCACAAGAAAACAUUUGUAAGAGCAAGACCAGUAUCAAAUUUCAGAUUUUAGUGAAUGAAGUCACAGAAUAGAUCACCCAUGGAACUCGUAAAAUACUGACCUCUACUAAGAUAUUGAAUUGAGAGUGUAUAUUAUCAACAACUUUUCUUGAGCGGGACCUACAACAUAAAGAGAAAGGGUGAACCUUGGCUUAAUUGGCAAUUGCACACUAAUUAAAAGUUCCAUGGAAACCUCAAGCUAUUAGUUCAUAUAUGUCCUGUUUCAUCUUGAGCUAUAAAUGCAACCAUUUCAUAUGUUUACAUCAACAUGGUUCUAACAAGAGGGGGCAAGAACAAGUUAAACUAAGAAGCAAAUAUCAAAGUCCAAUGCAAAAAUUGAAGAUGGAGAACAGAGUGAACUCUAACUUGAGAUAACUCCAAUACUGGGAUAAUUUUUAGCUGCAGGAAUUUAGCUGGAUUUCAGCCUCAAGAAAGCAAAUCUACCAAACAACAAGGAGCACCGAAGCUAAAAAUAACCAACUGAACAAAGUGAAUUGUACAUGAAGAGGUUAUCAUCACAUAAUUUUCGAAAGUUACAAGGACAUGAACAUGAUCUUGGUCAAAAACAACCUAUGGAGUCUAUUUUGAGUACUGGUUUCAAUGUUAGCACAAUCGCAGCUACAGCCACAAGCAGAAUUGUUAAGACUUACUCCAACAUAAUAAGUGUUAACAAAACUUAAGGGCGCUUGGGUCAGUUUUAUAAUAGUGAUAUAUGAAGAUUUCAAUGAGUUAGUUCUUCAACAGUUCAACUGGUAGAUGAUGCAACCCUUUCGCCACAUAAACUUAUUUCUUAUUCAUUAACCCAUUAAAAGAUGCUACUGCAUUCUAACCAAUUUCAAAAAACAAAUCAGAAUAGAAUUCUUUACUAUUUUUAUUUCUAAGAUUAUAAAACUCCUCUCCAUGAAGAUAUUAAUAAACUUCUUUCAAGCUAGGUUCCAGGGAUUCUACAACUACAAAAACAAAUGAUGCUCAGCCAUUGUAAAGAUCUUAAGUUGUAAAUUUCGAUGUCUCUUCUCAUUCUCUUUGUGAGUCUUGCAUUUCAAUUAGCUGCUUUUUUCCUCUUAUCUUGCCACACCAAGUCCCAACUAUGUUAGUAGAUCUUCUCGCUGUAAAGAUAUGACCACAUGUAGAAGAGUUAAUAGAGACAAAGUUCCACUUAUAAAUGACAAGAUACAAGGGUGAACAUACAUUCAUUCCAGUGCUUUUCCUACUACUUUUAAAAGCGAUAACCACAUCAAGCACAACAACAUAAAUAAAUUCAAGAUGAAUAAAUCUGAUCGAGAUACAGCAUUAGAGAUUUACUAGGGUAGGAAAGGAUGGGCUGGGUUGGGUUUGAGUAGGGUCAUGUUUGGACAACAUAUAAACCCACGAUGCAUACCUAACUUGACAUGAUAUCAGAUCAAGACCCCUCAAACCAUGCCCACCAGCAGCCAACAGCAAUGACCCAACUUGACCCUUUUGACUCAUAACUAAUCUAUUUAGCAAGGCUCAAUCCCUAAUGGACCCAAUCUAUAAUGUUCAGCCCAUCCUUAGAAUUUUUAAUGACUCUUUUUAAGAUGAUUUGAAUAAUUAGCACUAAAAAAAAACCAACUCAAAAUAUCAUUAUCCAAGGACAUUACUCAAUCAGAGUUAAACCUUCCCGACCAAAUAGGACUCUACCCUCAUAACUCAAGUCACAUCAAAGCUUUGACCCAUAUCUGACCUGUUUAAUAUUCAGCUUAAAAAAUUUAACUUACAUGCGACCCAAACCAAAAAAGCCCUUGAUGCAAACCCAACAUAAAUAGGGUAAGUUGGGACGGGUUAUCGGGUCAAGAUGAUUUUGCUACCUUUACAAUUUUCCAUGCUCCAAUACCAAGUGUGAUAAUUAUUUGAACAUGUCAUACCAUGAUGCGAUAUCGUGAGAUUUGUACUUGGACAAAAAAUUUUGACAAAAAAUAGACUAUGAUUAUUGAUGCACAUGUGUAUUUCUAUGUGCGGACUGUGUAGGCUUAUCUUUAGUCUCACAUCAGCUAUGCACCUAGUAAAUCUUGAAUACUUACACAGGGCCAAAAAACCCAAAUAACACCUUUCGGCUAGCUUUUUUAGAUGAGAUCCUAGGUUGUUAUUGAUAGUAUCAAAAUCGACCCAGCCAAUAGUCCAUGUGGACUAGAGGACACUACAGCACAAGCCCAAUUGGGUUGACCAUGGGCCAAUCAUGAUGUUUGUAAUCAGAUUUGUGGUAUUUGUGAUUGGAUUUGAAUGGAUUUGGAUCCCUAGCCUAGCAAGGAUGUCAAAGCUUAAACAGAGAGAGUGUAUGAGGAUCCAUAUGGGCAUGUAUUUAGUCUCAAAUCGGCUAUGCAUUGGGUAGAUCUUGGGUACUUAUAUAAGGCCAAAGAACCCAAAAGAUAAAUCGCAGCAAGCCUUUUUGGAUGAGGUCCUAAGUUAUUACAAAUCCCACAAAAUAUGCAAGGCAUAUUAAAUUUUCCAUAUGCCUUAGAAAAUUUUAAAAUAUUAAAUGUUCCAUAGCCACAAUGAUCCAACAGUCAUUUAGACUUGAUCAAAUGUCAAUACAUAUUUUUUCAAAAUAGAACAAUUCCUAGGCCCUAACUCUCCUUCUCUCAGCCACAUAAUCUUGUUCAUGCUAUUCUUCAGCAUGUGAAAAAAAAUAAAAAAAUAAAUAGUAAGCUAGCAACACUGUAAGUACCUCUACACCUCUAGUUGGAUCAAGCAAAUAACAUGCAAUGCAACAUAAAUAUAGAUAGCAUUUCCAAGGAUAUAAAUGCAACUUUUGGAAAAAAGUUUCACAUGCAACAUAUAAAUAAUCGAAAUAAAUUUACCUUCCAAAAGUAGCAGUACAGAAAUAAAAUAAAACUUUUAUGUAGCUAGUGAAGAAAAUUCUUUUUGAAAAAUCCACCAUUUUGCCUUUUCUUAGUCUUGGCAACUAAGACCACAAUUCACCCAGUGACAAGGCCCAAAUAAGACUAGCUCCUAAAAUAUAAUAUGCCCAAGAUCGGUAUUGUCAAAGAUCAACCCUAACUGGCUAGUCCCGAAAGAGACUAGCUCCUGAAAAUAUGAUAUGCUAGUGAUCAACAUAUGCUAGUGAUCGGCAUAUGCCAGCAAUCUGCCCUGACUAGCUAGACCCGCCAGGUACUAGUUCUAAAUCACAUGAGCAUACUAGCAAUCAGCUUCGACUGCCUAGGCCUAAAUCAUAUUCAAACAAAAGAGCAACCAAAGAUUAUAAUAUAUCAAUUUCACGCCAGUUGCUUUAGCAACAUAAUGUGGUAUUCCAAGCAUUCAGGAUUUUUCAAUUUUUUUGCCAUAAAAAGUCUCAAAACAUGCUAUGUCAAUAAAUCAAUAAUUCUUAAAUCAUAUUUCCAUCAUGAAAAUCUGACCAGUGUACACAAAGUGGUCUUCUACGCUUGAUCCAUUUUGUGAAAUUUAUUCUUCAAGCAUGGUGAUUUAAAACUUUUUUUAACUUUAUGGAAGCUAUGCAUUAAAUACAAGUAAAAAAUAUAUACAUACCCAUCCAGGUAUUAGAUGCAAAAAAAUUAUAAAUUAAAAUAUGAAUGCACCUACAAAGCUCUCGAGUGUAGACAUCCUUAUAGAUCGAGUACACGAAGCAGAGACAUUCUUCUGAGAAGGCUAUGCAUGACCUACACAGAACAUACCAAUAAUUAGGUUUCCUAAAAGCUUCUAAAGUUCACCAAAGUUUUACUUUAAUUCUAGCAUAUGAUGGAUCCCUUUAGGCUGUGGGACCCACCCAAAGCUCCACAAUCUAGGAUCCACCCGAAUCAGUACUGCCAACACAUCAUUGUUGCAUUGUCCCAGCUAGUGCUUGCACAUGCUAAAAGGAGCUAACUUGUGAUCUAAGGUGGAUUUUAGGUUCCCUAGGUGCCCCUGUCCUUUGGGCAUUACCAGCAGGGUUGUUGGAAUUCUCCCGUUGGUGCAUGCCACUGGCCGAUGAGGAUGGGGUAUGGACCUGCUUAUUUGAAGACUCCCAGCCAAUGGAACCAUUAGCAAUAAGGUAGAUCUCCUAGCACGCUCAUGUCCACUUCCUCAUGCCAUAUCAAUCUACAUUCAGUAACAUUAGCACCCAUAGGGUAACCAAAUCAAAUUAUUUAAUUACUAAAAUAACAUAGUUUACACACCUAUAUUUUUUCAUAUAAUAAAUAAUACGUCCGUCCAUUAGACACGCCUACACUCAUUCUAAGUACUAAAAACUCCAAGUAUUAAAGACUGUUUAAUUUAUUAAUAACAUCAAAUCUGAUAUUUUCUUGUGGAUAUAGGUUGAGAUGGCCCGACCUAAGACCUGAAAAUUGGCUGAUUUUGCUGAGGGAUCCCGAGCAGCCAACACCCAUUUCACUACGAGCACCUCCCGAGUAGUAAGCACCACGCGUACCCCUUCUACCUCUCGAAUAGUUGAUAGCUCAUCAAUAAAAGGGGAAGGUAGAUAAGGGGUUAGUUCUGCUCGCCAGCAAGGUGACACCCUCAACAUUGCCGGCAACAGUCAAAGAGCUAGUGAAGUUAUAUGGAACCAAGGUUAUGUAGCCAAUUAUAUUCAAGCACUGACAGGUUUUUUGCAGCAGAUACAGCAUUUAAGGCAACCAAAGACCAAGCUUGGCCAACCAUCGAGAACAAAGAAAGGAAUAGCCAAGUUUAAAAAGAUGGCGACACCCAUCUUCAAGGGAUCUUCUAAACCUACUAAGGCCCUAAUUGGCUGAAGAAGAUAGAGAAGACUUUCGCAACCAUGAUUUGCAAGGACUAAGAGAGGGUUUACUUCACCACCCACAAGCCUACGACUGGUGGGAGGCCAUCAACAGCAACAUGAGAACAACUCAGAGCUUAUUUCAUUGGAGCAUAUUUCGUCUAAAAUUCUGAGAUAUGUACCACUUUAAGAGCCUUGGAUACCGAAAGGCGAAGGAGUUUAUCAAGCUGACCCAGGGCAACAUUACGAUGACCUGGCAUGAAGCCAAAUUCAAAGAUCUAUCCCGCUUUGCCCCAGAUCUGGUGACCACUAAAGCAACAAAGGCUAGGAGAUUUGAGAGAGGAUUGAGGCCAGAAGUCGGGACUAGUUUAUGGCCAAUAGAUCUAACUACUUGCAGGGAAGUUGUGAACAAGGCAAAGUUGUUGGAGCAGCAAGCGAAAAAUGUUGAGAAAGCAAGGGAUCGCAUCCUAAAGAAGAGGCCCAAACCUAGUGGAUAGCAGGAAGGUCAACCUUCAGGUGACCAACCUUAGAGACAGGACCCUUUAGAAGGAAUGGCGGGACUCAACAAGAGAAAGGACCUUGGUGCGGCAGGUGCAAGGGUUUUCAUGUUGAGAAGGGCUGCCACUAGUUCUCUAGGGUAUGUUUCGAGUGUGGCCAACGGGAUCACAGAGUUGUCGAUUGUCCUGAACAUUGAGAUGGAUGAUAUGGCUAGCAUCGCCAUCUAUCAAUACUUGAGGGUCCUACUUCCCCUCCAAUGCCUCAGUCUUGUCCGGCUGCUGAGAUAACAACUAAACAGGUGAUAGGUCAUAGCCUAUCUCCAUUGUUCGUGGCCGCACUAUGUUGCCUCUGUUUUGCGGAGGACACUGCCACCUUUGUUACCUCGUCAGCCCAACCUACAGCCCACGUAAGCCUGGCUCAGUCAGUAAGCCAAGGCUCUCCAUCUCUCUCCCUCUCUCUAUCUCUCACUCAACCUAUCUUUCUCCCACUCUCUCUUUUAGUCCCUCUCUCGAUCUCAUACUCUCUAUCACUCUCUCCUCCACUCUCAGUCUCCUUAUUAGUCUUUGUAUCUCUCUCUAUCUAAUCUCUUUCUCCCCUCCUCUCUCUCUCUUUCUCUCUAACCCAAUCUCUCUCUCUCUCUCAGAUCAGGAGGAGACUAGGAUAUCCUAAUUUAGAGGAGCAUCUGGCUUAGGGGACAUCCCCAACACCCAAGGUAAUGACGAACCCCCUCCUUUCUCGCAUCGAGUCUCUCCUUGAAUCAGAGGAUAAAUGAUACCCCUAGGGGCUACAAUGGGUUCGGGGGUUUGUAUCCAAAUCUUGGCUCUACAAUUCGCAGAUUUGGUGUCACAAACCCUGAUAUGGGAGGAUCCUAGAUUGUGGAGAUUUGGAUGGAUUCCACAACCUAAGAGGAUGCCAUCCUAUGCUAGAAUUAAAGGGAAACUAUGUUAUACUUUAGAAGCUUUCAGAAAACUUAAUUAUUGGUAUGUUCUAUGUAGGUCAUGCAUAGUCUUGUCGGAAGUAUUUCUAAGCUUCAUGAAUUCAAUCUGUAAGGAUCUCUACACUCUAAAGCUUUAUAGGUGCAUUCACAUUUUUCACUUAUAAAACUCUUUUUGCAUCUCAUACCUAGAUUGGUACAUAUAUAUACAUACCUGUAUUUAAUACAUAGUUUUCCAUAAAGUUUAAAAAAAUUUAAAUCACCAUGCAUGAAAAAUAAAUUUUAAAACAUGCAUCAAGCAUAGAAGACCACUUUGUGUACAUUGGUUAGAUUUUUAUGAUGAAAAUGUGAUUUAAAAAUUAUUGAUUUAUUGACAUAGCAUGUUGUGAAACUUUUUUACGGCAAAAAGUUGAAAAUCCAUGAAUGCUUGGAAUGCCACGUGUAUGUUGCUAAAAAAAGGUGUGAAAUUGAUAUAUUAUAACUUUUGAUCAUUCUCUGGUCUGACUAUGAUUUGGGCCUACCCAAUCGAGGCUGAUCACUAGCAUGUUCAUGUGAUUUAGAACUAGUUCCUUUCGAGCAUAGUUAGUCAAGGCUGACCGCUAGCAUAUGUUAAUCAUUGGCAUAUUGUAUUUUUACGAGUAAACUUCUUUUGGAACUAGCUAGUCGAUGUUGAUCACUGGCAUGUUGAUAUGAUUUAGAGCUAGUUCCUUUCAGGCCUAGCUAGUCAGGGCUGAUUGCCAGCAUGCCAAUCUUAGGCCAAUUAUAUUUCAAGAGCAGACUCAUAUGGGCCAUGUCAUGGGGCAAAUGGUAGAUUUUUCAAAAAAAAUUUCCUUCACUAGCGGAAUAAAAGUUUUAUUUUAUUUUUGCACUAGUAUUUUUGGAAGGUAAAUUUAUUCUGAUUAUUUAUAUGUUGUUUAUGAAACUCUUGCCUAAAUGUUGCAUUUAUUUCUUUGGAAAUGCUAUCCAUAUUUAUGUUGUAUUGCAUGUUAUACACUUGAUCGAACUAGAGAUGUACAGAUAUUGGGUAACUGGUUCACUAUUUAUUUCUUUUAUUCUUUUCAGAUACUGAAGAAUAGCACGGACGGGAUUAUGUGGCUCACAGCAAGAGAGUUAAGAUCUAGGAAUUUUCCUUUUUGAAAAAAAUGUUAUGUAUUGACAUUUGAUCAAGUAUAGAGACAAUGUCUAUUGGAUUUAUGUUGGUUAUGAAACUUUUAAUAUUUUAAACUUUUUUAAGUGCUUUAAUUUUACCACUACCUAAUAUUAUGCAAGAUCUAUCCAGAACAUUUAAUAUCUCAUGUAGGCCUUGGAUAUCCUAUAGGUCAGACCCUAUAAGGUGUGCGACAGUCUGUCACAUGCCCACUCGUGCUAGUAGAAUGAGGUGUGACAAUCUAUCUGCCAAACAUCACAAAAUAUUGCAUGGACAAAAACGUAAAGCAAUAUUCUAUCAUGAAAUAAAUAGGAUGAAAAAUAAACUAAUUGUUAUAUCAACAAAAUAUACUUUUUUUAAUUUGGUAUACCGACCCAAAAUUUUCACGAUCAUCCAGUAUCAAGAUAACAUCAUAGGUGUCCUCAAAUCUCUCCCCAAAUUCACAGGGUGGCAUUGCAAGAGCUUCAAUAUCUCCUUCCAUAUCAUCAUCAUCAGAUGUUUCGUUCACUGGUAUAUCCUGAGCAGUCAAUAAUAAGUUGUCUUCAUUAAUUUUCAAUAUCAAGCUCUUUAGAAAUUUUAAUAACUAGCACUCUUUAUAAAAUGGUAGCUCUUUGGCUACUUUAAUCCAAGAUGACAGAAAAAGCAACCAGUUUUUGUGUUAUGUGCAAAGACAAUAUACCGAUGAAGUGCAAGGCCGCAGAUGGAACGAGUCCGGAGCUGACUCUGCAGAAAAUGGAAGUGCGCAAAUGGGCAUGCCACUGGAACUAGAUUUUGUCCUAUUCUCUGCAUCACAUACUACCGAAAAUGAAUUUUAAAAAAAAAUCAUAAAAAGCUACAUCUCAUUAAAGGAAAUAGCACCUCUUACAGAAAUACUCGGGAUUGUUUCUGAAAAAUUGUCAGGAGAAUGUGCAUACCUUUAGACGUGCAGGCAGUCAGUGUUGGAAAACAAGCCUUCUCAGCAAGUUCGGAAGACUCAGAAUCCGAAGAAUCAAUUUGAACACUUUGGAAGUUCUGUAAAAUGUAGGUCAAAGUGAUGAAAACACAUUUACCAGGUCCCAUUGUUUUACAGAACAAAAUUAACCAAGGCUUGUAAUGCCUGCUAAAUGUAACUUUCAUAAAGGCCCAUAGCACCUUACAAGCAAUAACACAAAAUUAUACUCAAUACCAUGCAAAACCACCAAGAAAACAAAUCUAAACUUUUUUUGGUAAAUAACAAAUCUAAGUUUUCAAAUCUUAACCACUGCAGCAAUCUAAUGGAAAAGGAUAAAACUAGACCGGCCCAACAUGCUUAUUUGCAGAACUUUUAAAAUGGACGGAGAUGCAACCAUCUAAAACCUCAUUCAUCACUAGAGAAUACAAAGGGAUGCCACUCCCUUCAGAAACAUGUCAGUCUGCAUGUUUUUUAACUGAUGAAGUAGUUGAACUCAAGAAGAAGAAUUAGUGCAAAUGUCACAAAGUUGCAAUUUCAACGGUGCUGUUAUUGAUGGGAGAAAAAUCAGGUUUUGAAGAUCGGUCAAAGAGAAAAGGACACCAGUAAUACAUUACAAUAGAAACUCAAUGUUUAAAAUCUUCAAAAGCUGAUCUGUAACAAAGGUUAAUGCUUGAACCACCAGUUCUAAUCCACCAAAAAAAGCACCACCAAACACA